AAAUCGCUCGUUGUGUCACUGUAGAGCGUUGGACUUCUAAUCCAAAGGUCGUAGGUUUGAAUCCUACCUGGAAUG
Molecule: non-coding RNA, 75 nt
Organism: Trichonephila clavipes
Lineage: Eukaryota; Metazoa; Arthropoda; Arachnida; Araneae; Nephilidae
Source: the annotation of a GenBank genome assembly